This 102-nucleotide ribosomal RNA is filed under the name uncultured bacterium. RNAcentral describes it as "partial 16S ribosomal RNA". It matches the Rfam family "Bacterial small subunit ribosomal RNA", at positions 392 to 508 of the family's 1533-position model. The record is from RNAcentral.
CGACGCCGCGUGGAGGAUGACGGCCCUCGGGUUGUAAACUCCUUUUGAUAGGGAAGAAGAAUGUGACGGUACCUAUCGAAUAAGCCCCGGCUAACUACGUGC